AGUGAACGCUGGCGGUAGGCCUAACACAUGCAAGUCGAACGGCAGCACAGUAAGAGCUUGCUCUUACGGGUGGCGAGUGGCGGACGGGUGAGGAAUACAUCGGAAUCUACUUUUUCGUGGGGGAUAACGUAGGGAAACUUACGCUAAUACCGCAUACGACCUACGGGUGAAAGCAGGGGAUCUUCGGACCUUGCGCGAUUGAAUGAGCCGAUGUCGGAUUAGCUAGUUGGCGGGGUAAAGGCCCACCAAGGCGACGAUCCGUAGCUGGUCUGAGAGGAUGAUCAGCCACACUGGAACUGAGACACGGUCCAGACUCCUACAGGAGGCAGCAGUGGGGAAUAUUGGACAAUGGGCGCAAGCCUGAUCCAGCCAUACCGCGUGGGUGAAGAAGGCCUUCGGGUUGUAAAGCCCUUUUGUUGGGAAAGAAAAGCAGCAGGUUAAUACCCCGCUGUUAUGACGGUACCCAAAGAAUAAGCACCGGCUAACUUCGUG
Molecule: ribosomal RNA, 492 nt
Filed under: uncultured bacterium
Lineage: Bacteria
Description: partial 16S ribosomal RNA
Rfam family: Bacterial small subunit ribosomal RNA
Source: RNAcentral